This 127-nucleotide small RNA is filed under the name Marmota monax (woodchuck). Lineage: Eukaryota; Metazoa; Chordata; Mammalia; Rodentia; Sciuridae. The record is from RNAcentral.
GCCAGGCAUGUUGGCGCAUGCCUGUAAUCCCAGUGGCUCGGGAGGCAGAGGCAGGAGGAUGAUGAGUUUAAAGUCAAUUUCAGCAACUUAGCGAGGCCCUAAGCAAUUUAGCAAAACCCUGUCUCAA